AGUGAACGCUGGCGGUAGGCCUAACACAUGCAAGUCGAACGGCAGCACAGUAAGAGCUUGCUCUUACGGGUGGCGAGUGGCGGACGGGUGAGGAAUACAUCGGAAUCUACUUUUUCGUGGGGGAUAACGUAGGGAAACUUACGCUAAUACCGCAUACGACCUACGGGUGAAAGCAGGGGAUCUUCGGACCUUGCGCGAUUGAAUGAGCCGAUGUCGGAUUAGCUAGUUGGCGGGGUAAAGGCCCACCAAGGCGACGAUCCGUAGCUGGUCUGAGAGGAUGAUCAGCCACACUGGAACUGAGACACGGUCCAGACUCCUACGGGAGGCAGCAGUGGGGAAUAUUGGACAAUGGGCGCAAGCCUGAUCCAGCCAUACCGCGUGGGUGAAGAAGGCCUUCGGGUUGUAAAGCCCUUUUGUUGGGAAAGAAAAGCAGCAGGUUAAUACCCCGUUGUUCUGACGGUACCCAAAGAAUAAGCACCGACUAACUUCGUG
RNAcentral lists this ribosomal RNA (492 nucleotides) under uncultured bacterium. RNAcentral's name for it is "partial 16S ribosomal RNA". It matches the Rfam family "Bacterial small subunit ribosomal RNA", at positions 29 to 507 of the family's 1533-position model. The record is from RNAcentral.